This 372-nucleotide ribosomal RNA is filed under the name uncultured organism. RNAcentral describes it as "bacterial SSU rRNA". It matches the Rfam family "Bacterial small subunit ribosomal RNA", at positions 526 to 896 of the family's 1533-position model. The record is from RNAcentral.
CAGAGGGUGCAAACGUUGUUCGGAAUUACUGGGCGUAAAGCGCGUGUAGGCGGUCGGGCAAGUCGGGUGUGAAAGCCCAGGGCUCAACCCUGGAAGUGCAUUCGAUACUGCCUGGCUAGAGUCCCGGAGAGGAUGGUGGAACUCUCGGUGUAGAGGUGAAAUUCGUAGAUAUCGAGAAGAACACCGGUGGCGAAGGCGGCCAUCUGGACGGUGACUGACGCUGAGACGCGAAAGCGUGGGGAGCAAACAGGAUUAGAUACCCUGGUAGUCCACGCCGUAAACGAUGGGUGCUAGGUGUCACGGGUAUUGACCCCUGUGGUGCCGAAGCUAACGCAUUAAGCACCCCGCCUGGGAAGUACGGCCGCAAGGCUA